Oncorhynchus nerka (sockeye salmon) is the source of this 2047-nucleotide long non-coding RNA. RefSeq lists it as uncharacterized. The record is from RefSeq and is a predicted model, not a curated record. The transcript has 3 exons. NCBI's taxonomy places the organism in Eukaryota, Metazoa, Chordata, Actinopteri, Salmoniformes, Salmonidae.
AGAGGUUGAACAACUCUGACACCCAGUGGCAGUCACUGAAAUUGCAAAGAAAAAUAAGUGGGUCUCACAGUGCCUUCUAUAAAAUAAUCUUGCUUCUUGAUCCUUCAUAUGCACUGAGUGUACAAAACAUUAAGAACACGUGCUCUUUCCACGACAGACUGACCAGGUCAAUCCAGGUGAAAGUUAUGAUCCCUGAUGUCACUUGUUACAUCCACUUCAUUCAAUGUGGAUGAAGGGGAGAAAACAGGAUACAGAAUGAUUUUGAAGCCUUGAGACAUAGGUUGUAUGUGUGCCAUUCAGAGGGUGAUGAAUGGGCAAGACAAAAUAUUUAAGUGCCUUUGAACGGGGUAUGGUAGUACGUGCCAGGCGCAACAGGUUGUGUCAAGAACUGCAACGCUGCUGGGGUUUUCACGCUUAUCAGUUUCCCGUGUGUAUCAAGAAUGCUCCACCAACCAAAGGACAUCCACCCAACUCGAUUCUGUCAACUGUGGGAAGCAUUGGAGUCAACAUGGGCCAACAUCACUGUUGAACACUUUCGACACCUUGUAGAUGCCAUGCGCCCAAUGACUUGAGGCUGUUCCGAGGGAAAAAGAGGGUGCAACUCAAUAUUUGGAAGGUGUUCUUCGUGUUUCGUACACUCCGUGUACACAUACUGCCAUUGGUCUAUGACCCAAUGUUUGUUGGUCAAUAUCAUGGCUGCAUACAUUAUUUACAAACUCACAUCUUAAACCACCUAAAACGAACGAUACAAAUAUAGAAAUGUAACGUAACUUAUCGGUAUUGCAACAUUGUAACUAGCCAACUAGCUACAUAUUUUGUCAGUAGAUAUUUUGCUACAUGUGUGUCGCGUGCUCAAGUAGCCAAGCGUCGUCAACGGUUACAAUCAGUCAUUGACAUUGGAGAGAAAGCCAGCUAGCCAGUCAUAGGCAAAUGUGUUGCAUAUUAUUUUCGCAAAUAUCUACAAACUACAAGGCUAGGACCAAGUAGAGGUUGUCAAAAAGGAAGCUUCAAGAUCCCGAUAACAAACAAUCACCACCAUGCGUCGCAGAAGAUCAGCUUGUAGUGUCUACUCUGACAGCAGUGAGAUCGAUAUUGAUCUCUUAGCUGAGACAGAGUUGAGCAAACUCCAGAGACAGUUUCGCAUCAUGGAAGGAGACAGGCAGGCGUACACCGUAGAAUCACAGGAUCUCAUUCGCAGACAGCUGUGAGGAUAUUUUCGUCUUAAAGACUGAAAACAUAAUUACUUAAGAUUCAGUGUACCUCUAAAGUGGUCUUUUGCUAUGUUUACCUGGACAUUGAAACUAUACUGUACGCCCAUGACAACUUAUUGUGGAACAUGUGAACUCCGUUCUGCCACCUCUGGUCACUUGCCUCCCCCGCCCCCGAGUCCCUGCCCAUCUUCCGAAAACAUCUGAGAACCUACUUCUUCAAAGAGUAUCUUAUAGUCCUACUCCAGUCUCCUUUUCACCUCAUUUAUCACCUGAUUUUCUUAGCAAAAGGCACAUCUUAAUAGGGGGUCCAGGUAGCAUCAUGAAAUUAGGAUUUUUGUUUUGUUCUCUAUUGCUAGAGGGGGAGGCCGAUGACAUCAGAGAGUGCCAUAAGACCAACUCCUUGAAUGGCCUACUCCUUGAAGUUUGCAGUUGUCUGAAAAAACAUUAUUUUCUCAAAAUAAUACUAUUUUAUCCUUACAUGUGUGUUCAUUACUGUAUUUAUUUUUCAAAAUGAAAAGUUCAAAAAGAGCUAGAAUACCCUCCUCCAAUUUGUUUUAAUUAAAUGACACCCUUGCUUUUCAUGAAGUAACACUAUUUUUUCCUACUAGCACUGACUUUUCUGAAGGCUACUUUGAGGAUAAAUGUAUUUACUAUGACUGAGAUAUGUGGUUUUCUCACCGAGCUUUCUUAAGAUUAACACACUAACUGUAAGUCACUCUGGAUAAGAGCGUCUGCUAAAUGACUAAAAUGUAAAUGCAAAAUGUAAUAAAAAGGAGUUUAGUUGGAGAAAUGUAGCCAGCCCAGCCACUGUCAAUUGAACUGGCCUAUUUGCUAAC